GUGAAUCAUCGAAUUUUUGAACGCAAAUUGCACUCUCUUCGGAGAGUAUGCCUGUUUGAGGUUCAGCCUAAAAAAAAAUCGAAAUAGUCUCUUUUUCGCGGCGUAUUUCUGCGGUAAUUUGGUCAUCUUAAACCUUUUUGUUUUAAGCGGCUUAAAAUUUUUUUUACGAUUUCACUAGCGUUUCUAAGAUGUUCUUCUU
RNAcentral lists this unclassified non-coding RNA (199 nucleotides) under Glomus sp. RNAcentral's name for it is "partial contains 5.8S ribosomal RNA and internal transcribed spacer 2". The stretch from base 1 to 65 matches the Rfam family "5.8S ribosomal RNA", at positions 84 to 154 of the family's 154-position model. The record is from RNAcentral. Lineage: Eukaryota; Fungi; Glomeromycota; Glomeromycetes; Glomerales; Glomeraceae.